GCUCCGGCUUGUUUCCUCGCAUUUGAGUUGGAGGCGCCUGGAAGGAGGAGAGAGCUGCAGCCUCGCCUCAGGAGCGGGGCCUAGGCGGGCCGCCCGCCCAAGGCACCGUCUCAAUGCAUUGACUCUCCACAAGGGGCGUGUUUUGUUUUUUUCUCUUUCUCUCAUUUUAGCCCCACAAAACUGCCCUGUGAGGGCGAGAAGCCCGGAAAAAAAAGGGGGGGGGAUUCCUCUGAGGAUUUCAAACCUCCCCCCACACCACACACUCUAAGAGGGGCAACCUCAGUUGGGAGAAAGUGGCUGCUGCCUCAAAAGAGCCUCUUCUUGGUGCUGAAAUGGCUAUUUUGUAGCCUUCAGAUAUCCCCACAGUCCUGUGAGGUUCCUCUGGCUGGGAGAGAGUGGCUGCCUCUCAAAAAAGCUUAAUUUUCUAGGAGCAAUUUACUGCUCUUUAAAGAUAUCCACAGCCCUGUGAGGCUUCUCUGGGUGGCUGCCUCAAAAGAGCAUAAAUCUUAAAGGGCAAUUCUGUGGCUGGCCUAGGGUGUUUCCAGGGUUUUGUUAUGGGUGGCUUCCCCCCAUUAUUUCUAUAUGCUGCUUGCAAUAUUGUUUAAAUACAAACUUAAAAUAUUGUUUAAAACCAAAAUAGGCUUUAAAUAGGAUAAAAUCUAAUAUGCAUAGACUAAAAUAGAAAAGAAUAGGAUAAAAUCUAAACAAAGUAAGCUAGUGUAUUAUAAUAUAGGAUCAUUAAUUUAAUAGGUGAAGUAAACAAAAAAAAUAGUGUGAAGCAUUAUCAAGCAGAUUAAAUAUUUUAGAACAAUUAGUGUAUUAAAAUAAUAUUCAAGGAAGCAUAUGGAAAGAAGGGGAAAAGCUUAUCAAUAAUAAAAACCUGAGACCCCAGAAAGCCUAGGACUUCUUCCUCAACAGCAGUCCCUAAAAGAGCUGUGAGGGGCUAGAUCCAAGCCAGAUUGCCCAGACACCUUGCUCAGAGCAGCCUGCAAGGUAGCUGGAGUGUGGAUUUUUCAUGUGGACUUAAUGUUUUGCUUUGAGUAGUAACCCCUGUUCUAGCCAGAGCAUAGCUUUCUCAUAAUGGACUUUCUCUCGUUGCUCUGUGUAGCCCCUCAUUUAGUAGGAGUGUGCCUUUUUCUUUUGGGGCUUCACAUUUUUGCUCUGAGAAGCCCUUCAUUUAGCUGAACGGAGGCUGCCUCCAAUCCUGACUGCAUGACUUUGCCCUUCAUGCUCUGAGAAGGGGGUGAGGUGGCAUCUCUUGACUUGACCAGACAAUAAUCUUCAGCUUGGUCUGCCCUACCCAUGGAAGAAAUGAAGGGCAGUGGAAGUGUGGCAUCCCUGACCUCUUCAAACAGUGUGGUGUGCUGAGCAGACUCUGCUGGCUGAAAAAAUGUGGCAAAGUGGAGAAAAGACAGAAGAAAGAACUACAGAAGAAGAAACAAUCAGGAAGGAGCAACAGGAGACAUGAAAAGUGAAGGGGAGGAGGAGGAGACUGGCAUUAAGAAGUGUCACAGAAGAAACGGGCAGCCCCUGAUGUGGCUGGACGGUGGCCAACUGCAAUCAUGGCUGCAUGACUUCGCCCUUCAUGCUCUGAGUGGUAGUGAAGAGGCAUCUCCGACCUGCACAGACCACAUUCUUCGGUUGGGUCUGCCCUGCCUGCAGCGGAAGCGAGGGACGGUGGAAGUGCGGCAUCCCUGACCUCUUCAAGCAGUGUGGUGUGCUGAGCAGGCUCUGCUGGCUGAAGACACAUGGCAAAGGGUAGAAAAGUCAGAAGAAAGAACUGCAGAAGAAGGGAGAAAAAGAAGCGCAAAGGAGCAACAGAAGAUGUGAAAAGUGAAGAGAUUGGAGGAGGAGGAGGCUGCUUUUAAAGAAGUUUCACAGAAGAAAUGGGCAGAUUGUGCUUCCACAAGUCGGCUGGCUUCAUUGCUGUCUUCCCCCCCACCAUGCAUCACUCUGAGUAGAGGCUCAUUUACCUGCAGCAUGGCUUUCUCAUGCUAGAUAUUAUGUGUGCAGAAGAUUCCCUAAUUUGGCUGGGAGGUGGCUUUUUUAGGCUAGACUUCAUGUCUUUGCACUCAGGAGCCCCUAAAAUUGUUGCAAUGCAUCCUUCUUGGCCUGGACUUGGAAUAUUACUUGGAAUAUUACUUGCAAUAAGGAGCCCCUAAAUUGGCUGUGAUGGUUGGGAUGUGGCUUUAUAUGACUGGACACUAUGUCUUUACUCUGAGUAUCCCCUAAAACUGUUGGAACAUGCCUUCUCAGGCUGGACUUAGUGUCCAUGCACAGAGGAACACCAGAUUUGGGAGGGGUAUGGCUUUUCAGGCUGGACUUCAAGUCUUUUCUCUGAGUAGCCCCUAAUUUGGCUGGGUGGUGGCCACCUCCGAUCAUGGCUGCAUGACUUCGCCCUUCAUGCUCUGAGUGGUAGUGAAGAGGCAUCUCCGACCUGCACAGACCACAUUCUUCAGUUGGGUCUGCCCUGCCUGCAGCGGAAGCGAGGGACGGUGGAAGUGCGGCAUCCCUGACCUCUUCAAGCAGUGUGCUGUGCUGAGCAGGCUCUGCUGGCUGAAGACACAUGGUGAGUGGCCUGUGAUCAGGCAAAGAGACACACCCUGAAGCCUUAAGCUUAGAAGACUCAUUCUCCCUGAGUUGAGGCUCUCUGGGGAUGGUCAUAAGAACAGCCCUGCUGGAUCAGGCCCAAGGCCUAUCUAGUCCAGCAUCCUGUUUCACACAGUGGCCCACCAGAUGCCUCUGGGGAGCGCAUAGGCAAGAGGUAUGUGCAUGCCCUCUCUCCUACUGUUGUUCCCCUGCAGUUCGUAUUGAGAGGCAUCAUGCCUCUGAGGCUGGAGAUAGCCAUUGCUAGGCCUGUCCACCGUGAAUCUGUCUAAGCCCCCUUUAAAGCCAUCCAAGCUGCUGGCCAUCGCCACAUCCCAUGGCAAGGAAUGCCAUAGAUUUAUUAUGCACUGUGUGAAAAAGUUCUUCCUCUGGUCAGUCUUAAAUUUCCCAGCCUUCAGUUUCAUGGGAUGACCGCUGGUUUUGGGUUGUGAGAGAGGGAGAAAAAUGUCUCUCUGUCUACCCUCUCCACUCUAUGCAUAACCUUAUACACCUUGAUCUCCCCUUAGUUGCCUUUUUUCCAAAGUAGAGAGCCCUAGAUGCAUCUAGCCUUAUAAGGAAAGUGUUCCAGGCCCCUGAUUGUCUUGGCUGCCCUCUUCCUUGCACUGAGGGGACUGUAAUCUGGUGGGGAUGUGGCUUUUUCAGGCUAGACUUCAUGUCUUUGUACUAAGGAGCUGCUAAAAUGUUUGGACCAUUGGGUUCUCAGACUGGACAAAAUAUUCCUGUCACUGAGGAGCCCCUAAUGUAGCUGGGAGGUGGCUUUUUUAGGCUGGGCUUUGUGUCUUUGCACGGAGGAGCACCUAAAAUUACGGCAACUUCACCUUCUCGACUUAAAAUUCCUUGCACUGAGAGGACUGUAAUUUGGUGGGAAUGUGGCCUUUUCAGGCUAGACUUCAUGUCUUUGCACUGAGGAGCCCCUACAAUUGAUGGACCAUUGGUUUCUCAGGCUGGACAUAAUAUCCCUUGCACUGGGGAGCCCCUAAUUGGGCUGGGAUGUGUGUUUUUCUGGGUGGACUUUAUGUCUUUGCACUGAUGGGAUGGAAGAAGUGUAGCCCCAGACCUGUGCUUGAGCCCCAGACCUGUACUUGAGCUGAAAUCACUGAAGAUGGGGUGGGUAGCCAGGCUGGAUUGAGCCCCAGACCUGUGCUAUCCCUUGAACAAAGAAGUCUGCCCAGACAGCCAGAGAAAGAGAAGAGGAAGAUUCUGAAAGAGAGCCUGGUCAGAACUGAGCAGUGUUAAAAAGCCUGCGGAGUGUUUGUUACCCUGACUUGGUCGGUGAGUAUUAUUUUGUAGUUUUCUCAGUCGGGACCUGAUAUUCCUUGAACUGAUGAUCCCCUGAUUUGGCUGGGAUGUAGCUUUUUCAGGCUAGACUUCAUGUCUUUGCACUGAGGAGCCCCUAAAAUUGUUGCAAGGCACCUUCUCGGGCUGGACUAAUAUUCCUUGCACAAGUAGCCGCUAAAAUUGUGGCAGCUUGGCCCUCUCACGCUGGAUGUAAUAUUCCUUACAUAAGAAAAGCCCUGCUGCAUCAGGCCCAAGGCCCAUCUAGUCCAGCAUCCUGUUUUGCACAGUGGCCCACCAGAUGCUGCUGGAAGCCAGGCAGAAAUUGAGGGCAUGCCCUCUCUCCUGCUGUUACUCCCCUGCAACUGGCACUCAGAGGCAUCCUGCCUUUGAGGCUGGAGGUGGCCUAUAGCCCUCCAACUAGUAUUCAUUGCAAGACCUCUCCUCCAUGAGGUUAUCCAAACCCCUCUUAAAGCCAUCCAGGUUGUUGGCUGUCGCCACAUCUUGUGGCAGAGAAUUCCACAUGUUGAUUAUGUGUUGUGUGAAAAAGUACUUCCGUUUGUUUGUCCUCGACAUCCUGGCAAUUAGUUUCAUGGGAUGACCCCUGGUUCUAGUGUUAUGUGACAGGGAGAAGAUUUUCUCUCUAUCCACUUUCUUCACACCGUGCAGGAUUUUAUAGACCUCAGUCAUGUCUCCCUGCAGUCGUCUGUUUACUAAACUAAAGAGCCCAAGGUGGUGUAGCCUUGCCCCCUAAGGAAGGUGCUCUAGGCCCCUGAUCAUCUUGGUAGCCCUCUUCUGCACCUUUUCCAGUUCUACAAUGUCCUUUUUUUUUUAGAUGUGGAGACCAGAACUGUUUGCACUACUCCAAGUAUGGUCGCACCAUAGUUUUGUAUAAGGGCAUUAUAAUAUUAGCCGUUUUACUUUCAGUCCUCUUCCUAAUGAUCCCUAGCAUGGAACUGGCCUUUUGCACAGCUGCCGCACAUUGAGUCGACACAUUCAAGAGCUGUCCACCAUGUCCCCAAGAUCCCUCUCCUGGUCAGUUACUGACAGCUCAGAUCCCAUCAGCAUGUGCUUGAAGUUUGGGUUUUUCGUCCCAAUGUGCAUCACCUUACACUUGCCAACACUGAACUGCUUGUCGCCCAUUCACCCAGUUUGGAGAGAUCCUUUUGGAGCUCCUCACAAUCCGUUUUGGAUUUCACUAGCCGGAAGAGUUUGGUAUUAUCUGGCUGGGAGGUAGCUUUUUCAGGCUGGACUUCAUGUCUUUGCACUGAGGAGCCGCUAAGAUUAUGGCAAAGUGGCCUUCUCAGGCUGGAUGUUAUAUUCCUGUCACUGAGGAACCCCUAAUUUGGCUAGGAGGUGGCUCUUUCAGGCUGGACUUCAUGUCUUUGCACUGAGGAGCCCCUACAGUUUUUGUAGCAUUGCGUUCUCAGGUUGAACAUAGUAUUCCUUGCACUGAGGAGCCUGUAAUUUGGCUGGGAGGUGGCUUUUUCAGGCUGGACUUCAUGUCUUUGCACUGAGGAGCCCCUACAAUUGUGGCAACCUGUCCUUCUCAGGCUGGAUGUAAUAUUCCUUGCGAUGAGGAGGCCCUUAUUUGGCAGGGAUGUGGCUUUUUCAGGGUGGACUUCAUAUCUUUGAGCGGAUGGGAUGGAAGACGUGUAUGUAUUGGGGGUGUUUGAGAGGGAUAAAAGGAGCUGGAGACCAGUUGAGUCAAGCUGAGAGAGUCUGCAGAAGAAGAGCUGAGGAAAGGCGACUGGAGAGAGAAACCUGGGAAGAAGAGCUGGCAAAAGAAAGCUGGGAGAGAACGAAGGAAACGGACAACUGGUGGUUGCUGGAGACUGCUGGAGUUGCCCAGCUAGCAAGACAGGACUUUGAGGCUUUGAGCCAGGCUGGAUUGAGCCCCAGACAUGUGCUUGAGCUGCAUUCACUGAAGAUGGGGUGGGUAGCCAGGCUGGAUUGAGCCCCAGACCUGUGCUUGAGCUGAAAUCACUGAAGAUGGGGUGGGUAGCCAGGCUGGAUUGAGCCCCAGACCUGUGCUUGAGCUGAAAUCACUGAAGAUGGGGUGGGUAGCCAGGCUGGAUUGAGCCCCAGACCUGUGCUAUCCCUUGAACAAAGAAGUCUGCCCAGACAGCCAGAAAAAGAGAAGAGGAAGAUUCUGAAAGAGAGCCUGGUCAGAACUGUGCAGUGUUAAAAAGCCUACACACUGACUUGCUCGGUGAGUAUUAUUUUGUGGUUUUCUCAGUCGGGACCUGAUAUUCCUUGAACUGAUGAUCCCCUGAUUUUGCUGGGAUGUAGCUUUUUCAGGCUAGACUUCAUGUCUUUGCACUGAGGAGCCCCUAAAAUUUUUGCAAUGCACCCUUCUCGGGCUGGACUAAUAUUCCUUGCACAAGUAGCCGCUAAAAUUGUGGCAGCUUGGCCCUCUCACGCUGGAUGUAAUAUUCCUUACAUAAGAAAAGCCCUGCUGCAUCAGGCCCAAGGCCCAUCUAGUCCAGCAUCCUGUUUUGCACAGUGGCCCACCAGAUGCUGCUGGAAGCCAGGCAGAAAUUGAGGGCAUGCCCUCUCUCCUGCUGUUACUCCCCUGCAACUGACACUCAGAGGCAUCCUGCCUUUGAGGCUGGAGGUGGCCUAUAGCCCUCCAACUAGUAUUCAUUGCUAGACCUCUCCUCCAUGAGGAUAUCCAAACCCCUCUUAAAGCCAUCCAGGUUGUUGGCUGUCGCCACAUCUUGUGGCAGAGAAUUCCACAUGUUGAUUAUGUGUUGUGUGAAAAAGUACUUCCAUUUGUUGGUCCUCGACCUCCUGGCGAUCAGUUUCAUGGGAUGACCCCUGGUUCUAGUGUUAUGUGACAGGGAGAAGAUUUUCUCUCUAUCCACUUUCUUCACACCGUGCAGGAUUUUAUAGACCUCAGUCAUGUCUCCCUGCAGUCGUCUGUUUACUAAACUAAAGAGCCCAAGGUGGUGUAGCCUUGCCCCCUAAGGAAGGUGCUCUAGGCCCCUGAUCAUCUUGGUAGCCCUCUUCUGCACCUUUUCCAGUUCUACAAUGUUCUUUUUUUUUAGACGUGAUGACCAGAACUGUUUGCACUACACCAAGUGUGGUUGCACCAUAGUUUUGUUUAAGGGCAUUAUAAUAUUAGCCAUUUUACUUUCCCCUUCCAAAUGAUCCCUAGCAUGGAACUGGCCUUUUGCACAGCUGCCGCACAUUGAGUCGACACAUUCAAGAGCUGUCCACCAUGUCCCCAAGAUCCCUCUCCUGGUCAGUUACUGACAGCUCAGAUCCCAUCAGCAUGUGCUUGAAGUUUGGCUUUUUCGUCCCAAUGUGCAUCACCUUACACUUGCCAACACUGAACUGCUUGUCGCCCAUUCACCCAGUUUGGAGAGAUCCUUUUGGAGCUCCUCACAAUCCGUUUUGGAUUUCACUAGCCGGAAGAGUUUGGUAUUAUCUGGCUGGGAGGUGGCUCCUUCAGGCUGGACUUCAUGUCUUUGCACUGAGGAGCCCCUAAAGUUUUUGUAGCAUUGUGUUCUCAGGUUGAACAUAGUAUUCCUUGCACUGAGGAGCCUGUAAUUUGGCUGGGAGGUGGCUUUUUCAGGCUGGACUUCAUGUCUUUGCACUGAGGAGCCCCUAAAAUUGUGGCAACCUGUCCUUCUCAGGCUGGAUGUAAUAUUCCUUGCGAUGAGGAGGCCCUUAUUUGGCAGGGAUGUGGCUUUUUCAGGCUAGACUUCAUGUCUUUGCACUGAGGAGCCCCUACUAUUGUGGCAACUCCGACUUAUCAGGUAGACUUAAUAUUCCUUGCACUGGGGAGCCUGUAAUUUGGCUGGGAGGUGGCUUUUUCAGGCUGGACUUCAUGUCUUUGCACUGAGGAGCCCCUACUAUUGUGGCAACUCCGACUUAUCAGGUAGAUUUAAUAUUCCUUGCACUGAGGAGCCUGUAAUUUGGCUGGGAGGUGGCUUUUUCAUGCUGGACUUCAUGUCUUUGCACUGAGGAGCCCCUAAAAUUGUGGCAACCUGUCCUUCUCAGGCUGGAUGUAAUAUUCCUUGCGAUGAGGAGGCCCUUAUUUGGCAGGGAUGUGGCUUUUUCAGGGUGGACUUCAUAUCUUUGAGUGGAUGGGAUGGAAGACGUGUAUGUAUUGGGGGUGUUUGAGAGGGAUAAAAGGAGCUGGAGACCAGUUGAGUCAGGCUGAGAGAGUCUGCAGAAGAAGAGCUGAGGAAAGGCGACUGGAGAGAGAAACCUGGGAAGAAGAGCUGGCAAAAGAAAGCUGGGAGAGAACGAAGGAAACGGACAACUGGUGGUUGCUGGAGACUGCUGGAGUUGCCCAGCUAGCAAGACAAGACUUUGAGGCUUUGAGCCAGGCUGGAUUGAGCCCCAGACUUGUGCUUGAGCUGCAUUCACUGAAGAUGGGGUGGGUAGCCAGGCUGGAUUGAGCCCCAGACCUGUGCUUGAGCUGAAAUCACUGAAGAUGGGGUGGGUAGCCAGGCUGGAUUGAGCCCCAGACCUGUGCUUGAGCUGAAAUCACUGAAGAUGGGGGAGUAGCCAGGCUGGAUUGAGCCCCAGACCUGUGCUAUCCCUUGAACAAAGAAGUCUGCCCAGACAGCCAGAAAAAGAGAAGAGGAAGAUUCUGAAAGAGAGCCUGGUCAGAACUGUGCAGUGUUAAAAAGCCUACACACUGACUUGCUCGGUGAGUAUUAUUUUGUGGUUUUCUGAGUCGGUACCUGAUAAUCCUUGAACUGACAAUCCCCUGCUUUGGCUGGGAUGUAGCUUUUUCAGGCUAGACUUCAUGUCUUUGCACUGAGGAGCCCCUAAAAUUUUUGCAAUGCACCCUUCUCGGGCUGGACUAAUAUUCCUUGCACAAGUAGCCGCUAAAAUUGUGGCAGCUUGGCCCUCUCACGCUGGAUGUAAUAUUCCUUACAUAAGAAAAGCCCUGCUGCAUCAGGCCCAAGGCCCAUCUAGUCCAGCAUCCUGUUUUGCACAGUGGCCCACCAGAUGCUGCUGGAAGCCAGGCAGAAAUUGAGGGCAUGCCCUCUCUCCUGCUUUUACUCCCCUGCAACUGACACUCAGAGGCAUCCUGCCUUUGAGGCUGGAGGUGGCCUAUAGCCCUCCAACUAGUAUUCAUUGCUAGACCUCUCCUCCAUGAGGAUAUCCAAACCCCUCUUAAAGCCAUCCAGGUUGUUGGCUGUCGCCACAUCUUGUGGCAGAGAAUUCCACAUGUUGAUUAUGUGUUGUGUGAAAAAGUACUUCCGUUUGUUGGUCCUCGACCUCCUGGUGAUCAGUUUCAUGGGAUGACCCCUGUUUCUAGUGUUAUGUGACAGGGAGAAGAUUUUCUCUCUAUCCACUUUCUUCACACCGUGCAGGAUUUUAUAGACCUCAGUCAUGUCUCCCUGCAGUCGUCUGUUUACUAAACUAAAGAGCCCAAGGUGGUGUAGCCUUGCCCCCUAAGGAAGGUGCUCUAGGCCCCUGAUCAUCUUGGUAGCCCUCUUCUGCACCUUUUCCAGUUCUACAAUGUCCUUUUUUUUUAGACGUGGUGACCAGAACUGUUUGCACUACACCAAGUGUGGUCGCACCAUAGUUUUGUUUAAGGGCAUUAUAAUAUUAGCCAUUUUACUUUCCCCUUCCAAAUGAUCCCUAGCAUGGAACUGGCCUUUUGCACAGCUGCCGCACAUUGAGUCGACACAUUCAAGAGCUGUCCACCAUGUCCCCAAGAUCCCUCUCCUGGUCAGUUACUGACAGCUCAGAUCCCAUCAGCAUGUGCUUGAAGUUUGGGUUUUUCGUCCCAAUGUGCAUCACCUUACACUUGCCAACACUGAACUGCUUGUCGCCCAUUCACCCAGUUUGGAGAGAUCCUUUUGGAGCUCCUCACAAUCCGUUUUGGAUUUCACUAGCCGGAAGAGUUUGGUAUUAUCUGGCUGGGAGGUGGCUCUUUCAGGCUGGACUUCAUGUCUUUGCACUGAGGAGCCCCUAAAGUUUUUGUAGCAUUGUGUUCUCAGGUUGAACAUAGUAUUCCUUGCACUGAGGAGCCUGUAAUUUGGCUGGGAGGUGGCUUUUUCAGGCUGGACUUCAUGUCUUUGCACUGAGGAGCCCCUAAAAUUGUGGCAACCUGUCCUUCUCAGGCUGGAUGUAAUAUUCCUUGCGAUGAGGAGGCCCUUAUUUGGCAGGGAUGUGGCUUUUUCAGGCUAGACUUCAUGUCUUUGCACUGAGGAGCCCCUACUAUUGUGGCAACUCCGACUUAUCAGGUAGACUUAAUAUUCCUUGCACUGGGGAGCCUGUAAUUUGGCUGGGAG
This is a long non-coding RNA of Hemicordylus capensis (graceful crag lizard), 10148 nucleotides long. RefSeq lists it as uncharacterized. The transcript is spliced from 4 exons. The record is from RefSeq and is a predicted model, not a curated record. NCBI's taxonomy places the organism in Eukaryota, Metazoa, Chordata, Lepidosauria, Squamata, Cordylidae.